UACGUAGGUGGCAAGCGUUGUCCGGAAUUAUUGGGCGUAAAGCGCGCGCAGGUGGUUCCUUAAGUCUGAUGUGAAAGCCCACGGCUCAACCGUGGAGGGUCAUUGGAAACUGGGGAACUUGAGUGCAGAAGAGGAAAGUGGAAUUCCAGGUGUAGCGGUGAAAUGCGUAGAUAUCUGGAGGAACACCGGUGGCGAAGGCGGCAUCCUGGACCAACACUGACACUGAGGAGCGAAAGCCAGGGGAGCAAACGGG
This 253-nucleotide ribosomal RNA is filed under the name uncultured bacterium. Its description in RNAcentral is "partial 16S ribosomal RNA". It matches the Rfam family "Bacterial small subunit ribosomal RNA", at positions 524 to 776 of the family's 1533-position model. The record is from RNAcentral.